GCUGGAGGUAUCAGAAGUGCGAAUGCUGACAUAAGUAACGAUAAUGCGGGUGAAAAACCCGCACGCCGGAAGACCAAGGGUUCCUGUCCAACGUUAAUCGGGGCAGGGUGAGUCGACCCCUAAGGCGAGGCCGAAAGGCGUAGUCGAUGGGAAACAGGUUAAUAUUCCUGUACCUGGUGUUACUGCGAAGGGGGGACGGAGAAGGCUAUGUUGGCCGGGCGACGGUUGUCCCGGUUUAAGCGUGUAGGCUGGUUUUCCAGGCAAAUCCGGAAAAUCAAGGCUGAGGCGUGACGACGAGGCACUACGGUGCUGAAGCAACAAAUGCCCUGCUUCCAGGAAAAGCCUCUAAGCCUCAGGUAACAUCAGAUCGUACCCGAAACCGACACAGGUGGUCAGGUAGAGAAUACCAAGGCGCUUGAGAGAACCCGGGUGAAGGAACUAGGCAAAAUGGUGCCGUAACUUCGGGAGAAGGCACGCUGACACGUAGGUGAAGCGGUUUACCCGUGAAGCUGAAGUCAGUCGAAGAUACCAGCUGGCUGCAACUGUUUAUUAAAAACACAGCACUGUGCAAACACGAAAGUGGACGUAUACGGUGUGACGCCUGCCCGGUGCCGGAAGGUUAAUUGAUGGGGUCAGCGCAAGCGAAGCUCCUGAUCGAAGCCCCGGUAAACGGCGGCCGUAACUAUAACGGUCCUAAGGUAGCGAAAUUCCUUGUCGGGUAAGUUCCGACCUGCACGAAUGGCGUAAUGAUGGCCAGGCUGUCUCCACCCGGGACUCAGUGAAAUUGAACUCGCUGUGAAGAUGCAGUGUACCCGCGGCAAGACGGAAAGACCCCGUGAACCUUUACUAUAGCUUGACACUGAACACUGGUCCUUGAUGUGCAGGAUAGGUGGGAGGCUUUGAAGUGUGGACGCCAGUCUGCAUGGAGCCGUCCUUGAAAUACCACCCUUUAAUGGCUGGUGUUCUAACGUAGACCCGUGAACCGGGUUGCGGACAGUGUCUGGUGGGUAGUUUGACUGGGGCGGUCUCCUCCUAAAGCGUAACGGAGGAGCACGAAGGUUGGCUAAUCCUGGUCGGACAUCAGGAGGUUAGUGCAAUGGCAUAAGCCAGCUUGACUGCGAGCGUGACGGCGCGAGCAGGUGCGAAAGCAGGUCAUAGUGAUCCGGUGGUUCUGAAUGGAAGGGCCAUCGCUCAACGGAUAAAAGGUACUCCGGGGAUAACAGGCUGAUACCGCCCAAGAGUUCAUAUCGACGGCGGUGUUUGGCACCUCGAUGUCGGCUCAUCACAUCCUGGGGCUGAAGUAGGUCCCAAGGGUAUGGCUGUUCGCCAUUUAAAGUGGUACGCGAGCUGGGUUUAGAACGUCGUGAGACAGUUCGGUCCCUAUCUGCCGUGGGCGCUGGAGAACUGAGGGGGGCUGCUCCUAGUACGAGAGGACCGGAGUGGACGCAUCACUGGUGUUCGGGUUGUCAUGCCAAUGGCACUGCCCGGUAGCUAAAUGCGGAAGAGAUAAGUGCUGAAAGCAUCUAAGCACGAAACUUGCCCCGAGAUGAGUUCUCCCUGAGACUACAAGUCUCCUGAAGGAACGUUGAAGACGACGACGUUGAUAGGCCGGGUGUGUAAGCGCAGCGAUGCGUUGAGCUAACCGGUACUAAUGAACCGUGAGGCUUAACCUUACAACGCCGAAG
Molecule: ribosomal RNA, 1685 nt
Filed under: Salmonella enterica subsp. arizonae serovar 18:z4,z23:- str. CVM N9135
Lineage: Bacteria; Pseudomonadati; Pseudomonadota; Gammaproteobacteria; Enterobacterales; Enterobacteriaceae
Description: bacterial LSU rRNA
Rfam family: Bacterial large subunit ribosomal RNA
Source: RNAcentral